UACAGAGGGUGCGAGCGUUAAUCGGAAUUACUGGGCGUAAAGCGUGCGUAGACGGUCAUGUAAGUCGGGUGUGAAAGCCCCGGGCUCAACCUGGGAAUUGCAUUCGAGACUGCAUGGCUAGGGUGCGGAAGAGGGAAGCGGAAUUUCCGGUGUAGCGGUGAAAUGCGUAGAUAUCGGAAGGAACACCAGUGGCGAAAGCGGCUUCCUGGUCCAGCACCGACGUCAGGCACGAAAGCGUGGGGAGCAAACAGG
This 252-nucleotide ribosomal RNA is filed under the name uncultured bacterium. RNAcentral's name for it is "partial 16S ribosomal RNA". It matches the Rfam family "Bacterial small subunit ribosomal RNA", at positions 524 to 776 of the family's 1533-position model. The record is from RNAcentral.